RNAcentral lists this ribosomal RNA (337 nucleotides) under Nudospongilla sp. GPM-2011. RNAcentral describes it as "eukaryotic LSU rRNA". It matches the Rfam family "Eukaryotic large subunit ribosomal RNA", at positions 25 to 352 of the family's 3401-position model. The record is from RNAcentral. Lineage: Eukaryota; Metazoa; Porifera; Demospongiae; Spongillida; Spongillidae.
CCGCUGAAUUUAAGCAUAUCAAUAAGCGGAGGAAAAGAAACCAACAGGGAUUCCCCCAGUAACGGCGAGCGAAGCGGGAAUAGCUCGAGCCUUAAAUCUCCGGCGAGCAGCCGGCGAAUUGUAGCCGAGAGAGGCACCUGCGCUCGGUUUGUCGGUCGGCCAAAGUUGACCUGGAAUGGCGCGUCAUAGAGGGUGAGAACCCCGUACGCGGCCGAUUGGCUGCCCAGAUAUUAGGUGUCUUUGCAGAGUCAGGUUGUUUGGGAAUGCAGCCCAAAGUGGGUGGUAAACUCCACCUAAAGCUAAAUAUUAAGCACGAGACCGAUAGCAAACAAGUACC